This 277-nucleotide ribosomal RNA is filed under the name uncultured eukaryote. Its description in RNAcentral is "partial 18S ribosomal RNA". It matches the Rfam family "Eukaryotic small subunit ribosomal RNA", at positions 21 to 309 of the family's 1831-position model. The record is from RNAcentral.
UAGUCAUAUGCUUGUCUCAAAGAUUAAGCCAUGCAUGUCUAAGUAUAUACUUUUGUACAGUUGAACUGCGGAUGGCUCAUUAAAUCAGUUAUAGUUUAUCGAUGGUCACUUGCUACAUGGAUAACCGUGGUAAUUCUAGAGCUAAUACAUGCGAUCCCUCCAACUUUGUGGAAGGAGUGUGCUUGUCUGAAUAGAAUCAAUGCGGCUCUGUCGCUUAUUGGUGAAUCAGGACAAAAGUACGAAUCGAUCUCAGAUCGAUGCAUCAUUCGAGUUUCUG